This 514-nucleotide ribosomal RNA is filed under the name Papilio helenus. RNAcentral's name for it is "partial 16S ribosomal RNA". It matches the Rfam family "Bacterial large subunit ribosomal RNA", at positions 1830 to 2602 of the family's 2925-position model. The record is from RNAcentral. Lineage: Eukaryota; Metazoa; Arthropoda; Insecta; Lepidoptera; Papilionidae.
UUUUUGAAGAUAAUUUAAAGUCUAAUCUGCCCACUGAUAAAAUUAUUAAAGGGCUGCAGUAUUUUGACUGUACAAAGGUAGCAUAAUCAAUAGUCUCUUAAUUGGUGACUUGUAUGAAAGAUUGGAUGAAAUAUAUACUGUCUCUAAUUAAUUUAUAGAAAUUAAUUUUUUAGUAAAAAAGCUAAAAUAAUUUUAAAAGACGAGAAGACCCUAUAGAGUUUAAUAAUUUAUUUAAUUAUAUUUAUUAUAUAAUUUUUAAAAUUAAAAUUAAAUGAAUUAUUUUGUUGGGGUGAUAGAAAAAUUAAAUUAACUUUUUUUAAUUGUUAACAUUAAUUUAUGAUUAAAUGAUCCGUUAAUAAUGAUUAAAAGAAAAAAUUACCUUAGGGAUAACAGCGUAAUUUUUUUUUUUAGUUCAAAUAGGAAAAAAAGUUUGCGACCUCGAUGUUGGAUUAAGAUAAAAUUUAAAUGCAAAAGUUUAAAAUUUUGAUCUGUUCGAUCAUUAAAAUCUUACAUG